AAUCUAUGCAUCGAACAUUUCUGGAGUAAUUCUUUAAAUCGUUCCCAAGCUUUAUAUAGCAUUUCAUCCUCCAAUUUUCAAAAAGAUGUGAUGUCAUUUCUAAGCUU
Molecule: small nucleolar RNA, 107 nt
Organism: Gossypium arboreum
Lineage: Eukaryota; Viridiplantae; Streptophyta; Magnoliopsida; Malvales; Malvaceae
Rfam family: Plant small nucleolar RNA R71
About the family: R71 is a member of the C/D box family of snoRNAs containing the C (UGAUGA) and D (CUGA) box motifs. Multiple nearly identical copies of this snoRNA have been identified in Arabidopsis, and it is thought to function as a 2'-O-ribose methylation guide for 18S ribosomal RNA.
Source: Rfam